This 717-nucleotide long non-coding RNA is filed under the name Homo sapiens (human). Its description in RNAcentral is "HSALNT0346878". The record is from RNAcentral. Lineage: Eukaryota; Metazoa; Chordata; Mammalia; Primates; Hominidae.
CCAAACGAGGCAAUGAUGCCAAGGACAAUGUGUUAGGGCUCUCCAGAGAAACAAAACCAACAGGAGAGAGAGAGACAGAAAUAGAGAGAGAAAGGGAGAGAUUUAUUAUGAAGAACUAGGUCAUGUCAUUACAGGGGCUGGGAAGUUCCACAGUCCACCAUCGGCCAGCUAGAGACCCAGGAUUACCUGUUGUGUAGCUCCAGUCUGAGCUAGAGGCCUGAGAACCGGCAGAAUUGAUGGUGUAAGUCCCAGUCCAAGUACAGGAGAAGACCGAUGUCCUGGCUUGACAGCAGUCAGGCAGAGAGAACAAUGCUCCCUUACCCCACCUUUUGUCCUAUUCAGGCCUCAGUGGCUUCGAGGAGGCCCACCCACUCUGGGGAGGGACAACUGCCUUGCUCAGUCUACAGAUUCACGUGUUAAUCUCAUCCAGAAAGACCCUCACAGACACACCUAGAAUAACGUUUGACCUAACAUCUGGGCACCUAAUGGCUCAGUCAAGUUGACACUUAAAAUUAACCAUCACAGACAAUAAAAGAGCCUUUUUAAACAUCAAGAAGAGGAGAGGGACAGACUCAUGCUUGGUGGCACGGUGACGACCAGUAUGCGAUAGGAAGGGAGACAGAUCUGGGGCAGGCAGAGAGGGCUGAAGCUGGAGUCUCCCCUGGGUUCCCAACUACUGACAGGACCAUGCAGUGAAGAAAACUUUUUUCUUUUGAG